GGCGCAGCCCGGCCCCGCCCGCGGCGCUGCGCCCUGCGCCGGGCCUGGCACCGGGCGAGCGGCCGAACACGCAGCCGCCCGGAUUAGCAGCAUUAGCAGCCAGCGCCGAGCAACAAUUAAUCAUUUGCUGUUUCCCUCACUUCAUCAUGGACUUAGGCCACUGUGUUUUCCCAAAUGAGCAGGUGGGCUGUGGUGAAUAUGCAGACUCGGACAUACUUGACUCUGAGGGAGCUUUGAAGAGCAGAGCUAACAUCCUGGCUUGGCAGACAAUGCAACCUGAGAAUCAGCACAACGUCUAGAACACAACAGUGAACUGCUCGUAUUGACUCAAGGAUGGAUCCUGAGAAUGUGUCCACCUUUAAUCCCAGGAUUAUUGGUCCCUGGAUGGUGUGAUCUUCAACAGAAAUUAGGCAGCAUUUUCUCUCUCUCAGCAGUGUCAGACCCUGGAUGCUGUAAUAUAAUGGGGUUUAUAUUCCUUCAAUGUAGUUCAUCUAUGGAUAGGGUAAUAAAAUAAAGUUUAUAGA
Long non-coding RNA from Taeniopygia guttata (zebra finch), 524 nucleotides. RefSeq lists it as uncharacterized. NCBI's taxonomy places the organism in Eukaryota, Metazoa, Chordata, Aves, Passeriformes, Estrildidae. The record is from RefSeq and is a predicted model, not a curated record.